GACGAGCGCUGGCGGCGGGCUUAACACAUGCCAGUCGAACGGAAAGGCCCUGCUUUUGUGGGGUGCUCGAGUGGCGAACGGGUGAGUAACACGUGAGUAACCUGCCCUUGACUUUGGGAUAACUUCAGGAAACUGGGGCUAAUACCGGAUAGGAGCUCCUGCUGCAUGGUGGGGGUUGGAAAGUUUCGGCGGUUGGGGAUGGACUCGCGGCUUAUCAGCUUGUUGGUGGGGUAGUGGCUUACCAAGGCUUUGACGGGUAGCCGGCCUGAGAGGGUGACCGGCCACAUUGGGACUGAGAUACGGCCCAGACUCCUACGGGAGGCAGCAGUGGGGAAUAUUGCACAAUGGGCGGAAGCCUGAUGCAGCAACGCCGCGUGCGGGAUGACGGCCUUCGGGUUGUAAACCGCUUUCGCCUGUGACGAAGCGUGAGUGACGGUAAUGGGUAAAGAAGCACCGGCUAACUACGUG
RNAcentral lists this ribosomal RNA (468 nucleotides) under uncultured bacterium. RNAcentral's name for it is "partial 16S ribosomal RNA". It matches the Rfam family "Bacterial small subunit ribosomal RNA", at positions 28 to 507 of the family's 1533-position model. The record is from RNAcentral.